This 334-nucleotide long non-coding RNA is filed under the name Vulpes vulpes (red fox). RNAcentral describes it as "lncRNA (ENSVVUG00000021142.1)". The record is from RNAcentral. Lineage: Eukaryota; Metazoa; Chordata; Mammalia; Carnivora; Canidae.
GUAAAAGCUGAAGAACAUCAAAGACCUAUGCCCCUGUCCCAUAUAAGAAGCACCCAGCACAUAUCUCUGAAUCUGUGAUAUAGAUUCUAAGAUUUUGAGUAACUCACUGGAACUGGUGGUGGGAGUGCAGAGAGGGGGUAUAGAUGCUAAACAAUGAAGCUAAAGACAUGUGGAGAGGCCACUCCAUGCAUAGUCUCCUCAGAGCUGUGAAGCUGACUUAAAAUCCUAGUGGAGAUAGCCUAGCCUUACUUUGAAGGUGAAGACUCCUGUUAUUCUCUGUUAAGGUAUUUUGAUUGUUUACAUGGCAAAAAUCCAAAUAAAAUCCUUAUGCUGU